GUGGGGAAUUUUGGACAAUGGGCGAAAGCCUGAUCCAGCCAUGCCGCGUGCAGGAUGAAGGCCUUCGGGUUGUAAACUGCUUUUGUACGGAACGAAAAGCCUCUUUCUAAUAAAGAGGGGUCAUGACGGUACCGUAAGAAUAAGCACCGGCUAACUACGUGCCAGCAGCCGCGGUAAUACGUAGGGUGCAAGCGUUAAUCGGAAUUACUGGGCGUAAAGCGUGCGCAGGCGGUUUUGUAAGACAGAGGUGAAAUCCCCGGGCUCAACCUGGGAACUGCCUUUGUGACUGCAAGGCUGGAGUGCGGCAGAGGGGGAUGGAAUUCCGCGUGUAGCAGUGAAAUGCGUAGAUAUGCGGAGGAACACCGAUGGCGAAGGCAAUCCCCUGGGCCUGCACUGACGCUCAUGCACGAAAGCGUGGGGAGCAAACAGG
Molecule: ribosomal RNA, 430 nt
Filed under: bacterium
Lineage: Bacteria
Description: bacterial SSU rRNA
Rfam family: Bacterial small subunit ribosomal RNA
Source: RNAcentral